This 335-nucleotide unclassified non-coding RNA is filed under the name soil metagenome. RNAcentral describes it as "partial contains 5.8S ribosomal RNA, internal transcribed spacer 2, and large subunit ribosomal RNA". The stretch from base 1 to 120 matches the Rfam family "5.8S ribosomal RNA", at positions 35 to 154 of the family's 154-position model. The record is from RNAcentral.
GAUGAAGAACGUAGCGAAAUGCGAUAAGUAAUGUGAAUUGCAGAAUUCAGUGAAUCAUCGAAUCUUUGAACGCACAUUGCGCCCGCCAGUAUUCUGGCGGGCAUGCCUGUUCGAGCGUCAUUUCAACCAUCAAGCCCCCGGCUUGUGUUGGGGACCUGCGGCUGCCGCAGGCCCUGAAAACCAGUGGCGGGCUCGCUACUCACUCCGAGCGUAGUAAUACAUCUCGCUCAGGGCGUGCUGCGGGUUCCGGCCGUUAAAAAGCCUUAUUUACCCAAGGUUGACCUCGGAUCAGGUAGGAAGACCCGCUGAACUUAAGCAUAUCAAUAAGCGGAGGA